AUGGGGCUCCCGCCCCUUAGUCCCUCCUUAUAUGGGGAAGCGGGACGCGCUCGCCGCCCUUCCCCCACCCGCCGACGCGCGCGCGGGCCGGGCCCCGCCCCUCCGCCUCGGAGAGCGCGGGAAAAACAGCCCGCCUCCCCGCCCCCACCGGCCGUUCCCGCGCGGGGCCCCGGCCGUUGGGAGGGGCGGGAGGGGCCGGCGCGAGUGGAAAAUUCCAGGCGGGAGCGCGGCACGCGCGCGGCCCCGCGGCUCCUCCUGCCGGCGGGCGGGGGGCGGCGUGAGGCGGGCCGCGGGCCUCGCGGCUCCCCGGGCACGCCGCCAGCGCCGCACCGGCCCCGCCCUGGCACCUCCGGGGCACCUGCGGGGAGGGGAGGGGCCGGGCCGGCCGCGAGGCUCCGCGGGGCCGGGGUGAGGUGUGGGGGGGUGGAGGGGGGGGCGCCGGCCCCCGGUGCGCAUUGUUCUGGCGGCCCCGCUCCUCCGCCGGCCUCCGCCCUCCGUCCCUCCUCCGCCUCCCGCCCGUCCCCUCUCCCCUCCCUUCGCCAGGUCCCUCCUUUCCUCGUCACCCGGCGCUGUAUAAAUCCCCUCCGCCGCCGGAUUCCCCCCAUCGCGGCAGACCCUUGGUACUUUGGCCCCCGGGGCGGGAGCCGCGGCCGCAGCACCGCCGGGACCCGGAGCUCCUCGCCGCGCACCCCCACCACCGCUUCCCACCGCCCUCCGCCCCGCUACCCCCAGCGCCAGCAUGUCGGAGAAACGCGUCGAGGAGGCGCCGGCGGAGCUGAGCGCCAAGGAUGA
RNAcentral lists this long non-coding RNA (792 nucleotides) under Anser brachyrhynchus (Pink-footed goose). Its description in RNAcentral is "lncRNA (ENSABRG00000012564.1)". Lineage: Eukaryota; Metazoa; Chordata; Aves; Anseriformes; Anatidae. The record is from RNAcentral.